Mercenaria mercenaria is the source of this 568-nucleotide long non-coding RNA. RefSeq lists it as uncharacterized. Lineage: Eukaryota; Metazoa; Mollusca; Bivalvia; Venerida; Veneridae. The transcript has 2 exons. The record is from RefSeq and is a predicted model, not a curated record.
GGGACAUUAUCCUUUAAAUAGACUGGACUAGAUAUGCCUUGCGCACACCACCUUACGACUUUAUAGACGAAUCUAUGUCUGAAUUAUUUUCUUGCUAGAAAUUUAUGCUCGAUCGAGCUUCUUCCGCCAGACGAUUUUUCCUGGUGAUGUCAUAACCCGGAAGUACAAUGCCCGAGGUUCACUUGUCUUCACUCGCCUGGAUGUGAUAUUCCCAGCGCAGAGCUUUCGUCCCAUGGUUGUGCCGUAAACCGCAAAGACGAUGAUUUUUUGUUAUCCUCUGAAGUCAGCUCAGGGAUGCAAUCACCUACCACCAUAGGGAGCCAACACGGAAUCAACGUAUUCACGGUUUAAAGGGACUGAAUUUAGAGAUCUGUUUUGUUUGUGCUACUUAAAGUUCACAAUUACAUUAAAGACCUGUGUCACGUCAGAUUAGAAUGGACUAUAAGAACUUUUGUAUCUAGAGAUACUGAAAUUUUUUUUUUCUUUCUGAUAAUCAGUUUUUUUUUCUUUUCAUAUCUAUUCAUUGUUAAUAAUCAUCUUUUGUAAAUAAAUUUGUAAAUAUUGUAAA